AUGAGGAUGAGGACUCAUGAUGAUGAUCAGGACUCAUGAUGAUGAUGAUCAGGACUCAUGAUGAUGAUGAUCAGGACUCAUGAUGAUGAUGAUGAUGAUCAGGACUCGAUGAUGAUGAUGAUCAUGACUCGAUGAUGAUGAUGAUGAUCAGGACUCAUGAUGAUGAUGAUGAUCAG
This 176-nucleotide long non-coding RNA is filed under the name Cercocebus atys (sooty mangabey). RNAcentral's name for it is "lncRNA (ENSCATG00000045494.1)". The record is from RNAcentral. Lineage: Eukaryota; Metazoa; Chordata; Mammalia; Primates; Cercopithecidae.